UGAAUACGAGAUGCUACGGCGUCGAAGCAGUCUAUGUCAUACUUCCAAGAAAAGCUUGCACUGUCAUAAACAAAUAAUGCCUGUACCAUAACCGACACAGGUGGGUAGGUAGAGUAUACUAAGGGGCGCGAGAUAACUCUCUCUAAGGAACUCGGCAAAAUGACUCCGUAACUUCGGGAGAAGGAGUGCCUUAUUUAUAAGGUUGCAAUAACAAGAUCCAAGCAACUGUUUACCAAAAACACAGGUCUCCGCUAAGUCGUAAGACGAUGUAUGGGGGCUGACGCCUGCCCAGUGCCAGAAGGUUAAAGAAGUUGGUUAGCAUCCGCGAAGCUGAUAACUGAAGCCCUGGUGAACGGCGGCCGUAACUGUAACGGUCCUAAGGUAGCGAAAUUCCUUGUCGGGUAAGUUCCGACCCGCACGAAAGGCGUAAUGAUUUGGAUACUGUCUCGGAGAGGGGCUCGGUGAAAUAGACUUGUCUGUGAAGAUGCGGACUACCUGCACCAGGACAGAAAGACCCUAUGAAGCUUUACUGUAACCUGAAAUUGAAAUUGGACUUUACUUGCGCAGUAUAGGUGGGAGGCGUUGAGAAUAUUCUUGCGGGAUUAUUGGAGCCAUCAGUGAGAUACCACUCUUGUAAUGUUAGAUUUCUAACUUUGUAUCAUUAUCUGGUCAAAGAACAGUUUCAGGCGGGCAGUUUGACUGGGGCGGUCGCCUCCUAAACGGUAACGGAGGCGCACAAAGGUUUCCUCUGAACGGGUAGAAAUCGUAUCUAGAGUGUAAAGGCAUAAGGAAGCUUGACUGUGAGACCUACAAGUCGAGCAGGGACGAAAGUCGGUCUUAGUGAUCUGACGGUGCUGAGUGGAAAGGCCGUCACUCAACGGAUAAAAGUUACUCUAGGAUAACAGGCUGAUCUCCCCCAAGAGUUCACAUCGACGGGGAGGUUUGGCACCUCGAUGUCGGCUCAUCGCAUCCUGGGGCGGUGGUACGUCCCAAGGGUUGGGCUGUUCGCCCAUGAAAGCGGUACGCGAGCUGGGUUCAGAACGUCGUGAGACAGUUCGGUCCAUAUCCGGUGUAGGCGUUAGAAUAUUGAGAGGAGCCUUCUUUAGUACGAGAGGACCGAGAAGGACAUACCUCUGGUGUACCAGUUAUCGUGCCAACGGUAAACGCUGGGUAGCUAUGUGUGGAGUGGAUAACCGCUGAAAGCAUCUAAGUGGGAAGCCCACCUCAAGAUAAG
RNAcentral lists this ribosomal RNA (1234 nucleotides) under metagenome. RNAcentral describes it as "bacterial LSU rRNA". It matches the Rfam family "Bacterial large subunit ribosomal RNA", at positions 1564 to 2808 of the family's 2925-position model. The record is from RNAcentral.